RNAcentral lists this ribosomal RNA (252 nucleotides) under uncultured bacterium. RNAcentral's name for it is "partial 16S ribosomal RNA". It matches the Rfam family "Bacterial small subunit ribosomal RNA", at positions 524 to 776 of the family's 1533-position model. The record is from RNAcentral.
UACGUAGGAGGCAAGCGUUGUCCGGAAUACUGGGCGUAAAGCGCGUGUAGGUGGUGGGACAAGUCUGCUGUGAAAGCGCCUGGCUUAACCGGGCGAGGUCGGCGGAAACUGUCCGACUCGAGGACGGUAGAGGGGGGUGGAAUUCCCGGUGUAGUGGUGAAAUGCGUAGAGAUCGGGAGGAACACCUGUGGCGAAGGCGGCCCCCUGGACCGGCCCUGACACUGAGACGCGAAGGCGUGGGGAGCGAACGGG